GAUGAACGCUGGCGGCGUGCCUAAUACAUGCAAGUCGAGCGAACGGACGAGAAGCUUGCUUCUCUGAUGUUAGCGGCGGACGGGUGAGUAACACGUGGAUAACCUACCUAUAAGACUGGGAUAACUUCGGGAAACCGUAGCUCAUACCGGAUAAUAUUUUGAACCGCAUGGUUCAACAGUUAAAGACGGUCUUGCUGUCUCUUCUAGAUGGUUCCGCGCUGCAUUAGCUAGUUGGUAAGGUAACGGCUUACCAAGGCAACGAUGCAUAUACGACCUGAGAGGGAGAUCGACCACACUGGAAAUGAGAAACGGAACAAAAUCCUAAGGGAGGCAGCAGUAGGGAAAAUUCAGCAAUGGGCGAAAGCCUGACAGAACAACGACACGUGAGUGAUGAAGGACUUCGGAUCGUAAAACUCUGUUAUUAGGGAAAAACAUAUGUGUAAGUAACUGUGGAAAUAUUGACGGUACCAAAUCAAAAAGACACGGAUAACUAAGUG
RNAcentral lists this ribosomal RNA (497 nucleotides) under uncultured bacterium. Its description in RNAcentral is "partial 16S ribosomal RNA". It matches the Rfam family "Bacterial small subunit ribosomal RNA", at positions 28 to 507 of the family's 1533-position model. The record is from RNAcentral.